Hemicordylus capensis (graceful crag lizard) is the source of this 1088-nucleotide long non-coding RNA. RefSeq lists it as uncharacterized. The record is from RefSeq and is a predicted model, not a curated record. Lineage: Eukaryota; Metazoa; Chordata; Lepidosauria; Squamata; Cordylidae. The transcript has 3 exons.
UGCAGUUUCUCUUCCGUCAGAAGGGCUCUUUCAGAAAGGGGCCCGAUUCUGCAGCUAGUGGAAGUCCUUCAGCUUCAGAAGGAGCAGGCUGAAGGCUGACCAGGCGCAGAAAACCUACACUGGGGGAAGGAGAAAGAAGAGACUCGCUUAGAGCAUCCCCAAGCCGAGGCAUCACAAUAACAACAAGGAAGAAAAGUGAUUCCCAACAGACAGUGAUACAAAGUCACAAAGGACUGUGACAGUGACACAGAUAUAUAAUAUCUUAAAGUGAGAUGCUGCAGUUCAAGGAAGAAGAUACAGUAUUAAAUUUCCAGGAGAGGAGCAAAAAGAGAGAGAGAGUGAGUCCCAUGAUGAACAUCCUGAAAGGUGUUUAUUUUUGGACACCAAAUCCCAACACUGAUGCUCCUGUCCCUGAUGAGAACACCGUGUGAAAAGGCACAAUGCAGCUUUCAGACUGUGUUGGUACCAUCUAGUGUGUGAGACGAAGGUAGAUUUUGAUGCCUGAUUGACCUGAACUCCUUCCAAGUAGUUUGCUAAAUUCCCACUGGUUAGAAACUGCAAAGCAAGAAGUGCAGUAGAUGGAAACCAGAGGCUACGAUAAUUGUACCAAAGCCUGCUGAGAUUUUCUUAACCACUUCCAGUAAAAGGAAAACGUCCCCUAGUAACAGAAGCAAGUCCCACAAGAAGGACCGAAACACUAUGUUCACUCAUAUAUGAAUAACAUUUAUUUUAUCACAUGAAGUUAUGGAUCCAGGUGUCCUAAUGGAAAUUCGGGGGUGGGGAUGGGGAUUAAAUAAAUACCUUACUGUGUAGAAAAACUUCUGUUUGUUCCUAAAAAUCCUUCAUUUGAUAUUUGUGGGGUGAGGGUUUCAGAGUGGGAAUUAAGAAUUCUGAUUUUGCUAUGAUAUUGUAACCACUCUAUAAAUUUAUCCAGGGGAGGGGCAGACCCCUAGCCUCUCUCACCUCCCAACUGUGGUUCAUAAGGACUUUGUUUUAUGAACAUUCAAAGCACAAUAUGUUGUACCUGGGAGGAGAAACAUCUAGUGUUUUCCUAUGUAUCAAUACUUGAAAUAGACAAAUUACCUACA